RNAcentral lists this long non-coding RNA (350 nucleotides) under Mytilus galloprovincialis (Mediterranean mussel). Lineage: Eukaryota; Metazoa; Mollusca; Bivalvia; Mytilida; Mytilidae. The record is from RNAcentral.
UUAGUUUAAACAUAUUUAUUUAUAGUGGAUUGGGAAACAAGUUUUACAACUUAUAUUAAUCCCUUUCCACUUUGCGGGUGCGAGUGCUGCCUUGUAGCGGCAUUAGCCUACUCUUUUUCGAAAUCUACAAGGGUGUCUUUAACGUGCAAGAGAUAUGGCUCUCUCUUAACACGGGCCAGCCAUUUAUCGUCCCCGUCCGACGGACUAUCAUCGUUUCCUCAAGACCAUACUCGCAAAUGGUGUCAAGGGAGAGCCGAAAAUUGAGUUCCUGAAAUUUUCAUCCCAAACGGGAAUCGAACCAGGAACCUUUGUGUUAGUAGUCCGAUGCACUAACCACUACACCACAGCUC